This 120-nucleotide ribosomal RNA is filed under the name uncultured bacterium. Its description in RNAcentral is "partial 16S ribosomal RNA". It matches the Rfam family "Bacterial small subunit ribosomal RNA", at positions 796 to 915 of the family's 1533-position model. The record is from RNAcentral.
UUAGCUGUAAACGAUGGAUACUAGGUGUUGGGAGAGUAACUCUCUCAGUGCCGAAGCUAACGCGUUAAGUAUCCCACCUGGAGAGUACGAUCGCAAGGUUGAAACUCAAAGGAAUUGACG